Molecule: long non-coding RNA, 202 nt
Filed under: Mytilus galloprovincialis (Mediterranean mussel)
Lineage: Eukaryota; Metazoa; Mollusca; Bivalvia; Mytilida; Mytilidae
Source: RNAcentral
GUGCUGAGCGGGCUGAUAUGAAAAGUUUAUCACAUGCUUCGAUUAAUAUCACAUGCCUUUCCGUAACGUUAUCAAGGCAUUCCGGUGAUACUCGGCAAAUUCCGGAAAAUACACCUCAAUGCUACGUUUUCGGUGAAAAACAUUACAAAGUAGUGUACAAAACAAUUAUUUGAAUACUGGAAAGUAUAUUGUGUGAAUUAAU